Molecule: ribosomal RNA, 468 nt
Filed under: uncultured bacterium
Lineage: Bacteria
Description: partial 16S ribosomal RNA
Rfam family: Bacterial small subunit ribosomal RNA
Source: RNAcentral
GACGAACGCUGGCGGCGUGCUUAACACAUGCAAGUCGAACGGAAAGGCCCUGCUUUUGUGGGGUGCUCGAGAGGCGAACGGGUGAGUAACACGUGAGUAACCUGCCCUUGACUUUGGGAUAACUUCAGGAAACUGGGGCUAAUACCGGAGAGGAGCUCCUGCUGCAUGGUGGGGGUUGGAAAGAUUCGGCGGUUGGGGAUGGACUCGCGGCUUAUCAGCUUGUUGGUGGGGUAGUGGCUUACCAAGUCUUUGACGGGUAGCCGGCCUGGGAGGGUGGCCGGGCUCCUUGGGACUGCGAUACGGACCAGACUCCUACGGGAGGCAGCAGUGGGGAACAUUGCGCAAUGGGCGGAAGCCUGAUGCAGCAGCGCCGCGUGCGUGAUGACGGCCUUCUGGUUGUAAACCGCUUUCGCCUGUGACGAAGCGUGAUUGACGGUAAUGGGUAAAGAAGCACCGGCUAACUACGUG